GACGAACGCUGGCGGCGUGCUUAACACAUGCAAGUCGAACGGAAAGGCCCUGCUUUUGUGGGGUGCUCGAGUGGCGAACGGGUGAGUAACACGUGAGUAACCUGCCCUUGACUUUGGGAUAACUUCAGGAAACUGGGGCUAAUACCGGAUAGGAGCUCCUGCUGCAUGGUGGGGGUUGGAAAGUUUCGGCGGUUGGGGAUGGACUCGCGGCUUAUCAGCUUGUUGGUGGGGUAGUGGCUUACCCAGGCUUUGACGGGUAGCCGGCCUGAGAGGGUGACCGGCCACAUGGGGACUGGGAUACGGCCCAGACUCCAACGGGAGGCAAGAGUGGGGAAUAUUGCAAAAUGGGCGGAGGCCUGAUGCAGCAACGCCGGGUGCGGGAUGACGGCCUUCGGGUUGUAAACCGCUUUCGCGUGUGACGAAGCGUGAGUGACGGUAAUGGGUAAAGAAGCACCGGCUAACUACGU
RNAcentral lists this ribosomal RNA (467 nucleotides) under uncultured bacterium. RNAcentral describes it as "partial 16S ribosomal RNA". It matches the Rfam family "Bacterial small subunit ribosomal RNA", at positions 28 to 506 of the family's 1533-position model. The record is from RNAcentral.